Schistosoma curassoni is the source of this 46-nucleotide non-coding RNA. NCBI's taxonomy places the organism in Eukaryota, Metazoa, Platyhelminthes, Trematoda, Strigeidida, Schistosomatidae. The record is from Rfam.
GCGCUGCUGAGUAGUCCCGCAAUAGGACGAAACGGCCGUCCAGUGC